This 527-nucleotide ribosomal RNA is filed under the name uncultured Actinomycetes bacterium. RNAcentral's name for it is "bacterial SSU rRNA". It matches the Rfam family "Bacterial small subunit ribosomal RNA", at positions 616 to 1146 of the family's 1533-position model. The record is from RNAcentral. Lineage: Bacteria; Bacillati; Actinomycetota; Actinomycetes.
UAGACCUGCAUCCGAUACGGGCUAGCUUGAGUUUGGUAGGGGAGACUGGAAUUCCUGGUGUAGCGGUGGAAUGCGCAGAUAUCAGGAGGAACACCAAUGGCGAAGGCAGGUCUCUGGGCCAAUACUGACACUGAGGAGCGAAAGUGUGGGGAGCGAACAGGAUUAGAUACCCUGGUAGUCCACACAGUAAACGAUGGGCACUAGUUGUGGGAACCUUCCACGGUUUCUGCGACGCAGCUAACGCAUUAAGUGCCCCGCCUGGGGAGUACGAUCGCAAGAUUAAAACUCAAAGGAAUUGACGGGGCCCCGCACAAGCAGCGGAGCAUGCGGCUUAAUUCGACGCAACGCGAAGAACCUUACCAAGGCUUGACAUAUACAGGAAUAUGGCAGAGAUGUCAUAGCCGCAAGGUCUGUAUACAGGUGGUGCAUGGUUGUCGUCAGCUCGUGUCGUGAGAUGUUGGGUUAAGUCCCGCAACGAGCGCAACCCUCGUUCUGUGUUGCCAGCAUUUAGUUGGGGACUCACAGGA